RNAcentral lists this ribosomal RNA (484 nucleotides) under uncultured bacterium. RNAcentral's name for it is "partial 16S ribosomal RNA". It matches the Rfam family "Bacterial small subunit ribosomal RNA", at positions 30 to 507 of the family's 1533-position model. The record is from RNAcentral.
AUUGAACGCUGGCGGCAGGCCUAACACAUGCAAGUCGAGCGGAUGAAGGGAGCUUGCUCCUGGAUUCAGCGGCGGACGGGUGAGUAAUGCCUAGGAAUCUGCCUGGUAGUGGGGGAUAACGUCCGGAAACGGGCGCUAAUACCGCAUACGUCCUGAGGGAGAAAGUGGGGGAUCUUCGGACCUCACGCUAUCAGAUGAGCCUAGGUCGGAUUAGCUAGUUGGUGGGGUAAAGGCCUACCAAGGCGACGAUCCGUAACUGGUCUGAGAGGAUGAUCAGUCACACUGGAACUGAGAGACGAUCCAGACUCCUACGGGAGGCAGCAGUGGGGAAUAUUGGACAAUGCGAGAAAGCCUGAUCCAGCCAUGCCGCGUGUGUGAAGAAGGUCUUCGGCUUGUAAAGCACUUUGAGUUGGGAGGAAGGGCAGUAAGUUAAUACCUUGCUGUUUUGACGUUACCAACAGAAUAAGCACCGGCUAACUUCGUG